GGCAUUGUUCUGGGUGCUAAAAUUACAGCUGUGAAUAAAAUAGACACAGCUCCUUCCCUCGCAGAUCUUAUAUUCUGGUGGGGGAGGGCGGGAGACUAAGACCAUGUAAAUAUGUAUUAUUCAGAGAGUGAAAUAUGCUUUGAAUAAAAUAUAGAAACAGAAGAAAGUCACAGUGACAGGGGAAGGAAAUUUCGCCUUAUAUUGGGUGGUCAGGGAACAUCUUAUUGAUAGGCAGAGCCUGAAGAAAGAGAAAGAGCAAACCAUAUGGAUACCUGGAGAGAGGAAGUUUGGGCAGAAGGAAGAGCAAAUGCAAAGGCCCUGGGCUGGGUCUUCUCAAGGAAAAGCAAGGAGGCCGCUGUGGCUGGUGUGGGGCUGGCGCUUAUUCUACACUGCUGCCUUUCAGAAAGUGUAACAAAGAACCAGAUGGCUCUUUGCUAGACUUGCCCUAUUUUGUUGUGGUUGUUAACUAAAAAUACAUGGGAAAAGGGUGUUUUUUAUACUGCUAAGGUUGCAUUCUUGAUUGGCUAAGGAGUUAACCCCAGGAUGUGUGUGUGUGUGUGUGUGUGUGUGAAUGAUAUAUAUACAUACCUAUACACACACACGUUUGUUUAAUGAAAUGGGAGAGAAGUUGAGACAUACCUUUUUGUGCUUCAAUGUGAGCCUGUGAGAGUUAGUAGUUUAGCUGAUACAAAACCCCUUUGUAAUCUAUUAUGCAGCCUGUUAUUAGCAAUCAGU
This 735-nucleotide long non-coding RNA is filed under the name Homo sapiens (human). RNAcentral's name for it is "LNC_000996". Lineage: Eukaryota; Metazoa; Chordata; Mammalia; Primates; Hominidae. The record is from RNAcentral.